Molecule: long non-coding RNA, 7744 nt
Filed under: Gossypium barbadense (sea-island cotton)
Lineage: Eukaryota; Viridiplantae; Streptophyta; Magnoliopsida; Malvales; Malvaceae
Description: long non-coding RNA (GBAR_LNC007769)
Source: RNAcentral
GGAGUCUUGUGGUCAACUCUGAUUAUAUAGUAAAGAUCAAUAUAAUCCACAUCAAGGCGUUGAAGGCUAGCCUCAAGUGAAGAACGAACAAAUUCAGGAGUGCCAUUGAUAACCGGACCACCUGGACCCAUGCUUUCAACACCGAAUUUUGUAGCCAACUGUACCUUCUCUCGUGGCAAAUGCUUCAAUGCCUGCAAAAAAGGUUUCCCAGAUUCCUUCAAAUCAUAUCGAUUUCAUAAACUAAAAAAAGCCAUCUCUCGCGCAUAUCUUCGAACAUGUAAUUGACACAAAAGUGUGGGACAUUGUGAGAGUGAAAGGAUCCCUCACAGUUCAAUGUAAUUCAACUUGAAGAGUUGAUCAAACAAAGGAUGUUACCUUUCCAACCAGAAUUUCGUUAGUUUUGGGUCCAUACAUGUCGGCUGUAUCGAAAUGAGUGAUUCCUCUUUCGAAUGCGUGCUUAAUGAUGGCUAUGCCAGCUUCAUCUGACACUGAAUUAUUGUGACCUGAAAGACCCAUACACCCAAAUCCCAGCUUUGAAACCUGUAAGCAAAAAACAAUGGAUUUUAGUUUUACCCCCGAAGAAAAAGCAUUUUCUUAACUAAUAAUAUAACUAGAAAGAAACACAAUCUCAAACCUCAAAUCCUUGAGUUCCAAGUUUCACUCUAGGAAUCUGAAUUGCCAUUUUUUGUUCCCUUUUUUUUUUUCUUCUUCUUCUUCUUCUUGGUGUUCUACAAACAAAGGCUUCUCUGAUUACCGAACAGCUCAAAACAUACCGUUAAAUAGAAGAUCUUGAGGCCUUUACCCAGAACCUUGUUCUUAGCUUUGUCAACAUUUGCUUACAUCAUUAUGGUGUCAGCCCGUAUGUAAUCGUUUUAGUCUACUAGAGAAAAAAACUAAUAAAUAAUCAUCAUCACAAAGAGGCAAAGCAUUUUUUCUUUAUCCAAAAAAAAAGGCAAAGAAUUGGUCAAAAGAUAUAUACAAUAAGUAAAUCAUGUCAUGUGUGUUAAUCAAUAAUCAGAUAAACAUCCUGAGAAAGGGGCCGUAAUACCUCCUUUCAUUCAUUUUUUUUCAAAGGUUCUUGUCUUUUUCUAGAAAGUCAAUGUUUUUACUGAAACAUUCAUAUUGCUGGUAAAAUUCUGCUAUUAGUAUAUCUAUUUUGCAAAUGUUGUUUAAUUUAAUCAAUUUUAAUUUUUAUAUUUUCCAGAUUGAUCAAUUUUAGUUUUUAUAUUUUUUGAGUUUUGAAAUUUUAGUCAUGACUCAGUUAAAUUUAUUUGGUUAAAUUUAAUUAUUAGACGUAGAAAUAUCAAGUUGACAUGACAUCACAUAUAUGACAAUAUGUUUAUAGUAUCAAAUUUUAGAAAUAGUAAAAUCUAACUUAAUGAAUUUAACGGUUAUAGUUUGGUGAGGACAAAAACAUUAAAAUUUAAAAGGUACAAGGUCUAAAAAUACCAAAUUAAAAUAGAAUUAAACCCAUAACUUUGUAAAAUAUAGGGACUAAUAGCUGAAUUUAACCUAUAUUGCUAUAACUUCAUUUUAUUUUAUAAAGCAACCAUUUUUCCUUUUUUGUCAACUUUUUUCACAUGUUUAUAUCGGUAUAUUAAAAAAAAAAGUUCAAAUAUCUAGAGAAUUUUAGAAUAUCAAUUUUUUGAAUAUAUAUAAAAUACAAAUGUUUCAAAAAUUAAUAAAUACUCAAAGCUGUGAAUAAAGAACAUAAGACGAAAUAAGUUGUUCGGAUUUUUUAAAUUAAAUGUAAAAUUAUUGCUUAAAUUAUAUUUUUAUUUUUAUUUUUUACUUUUAACUAUUUAAAAUGUUUUUUUGUCAAAGUUGAUAUUUAAAUUAUUAAUAUUGUCUUAUUUAUUUUUAAAUAUGAUAUUAGUCAAUAAAAACAAAACAUGUGAUACAUUUUUAUUAUAUGUCUCAUACUUUUUGCGAUAAAAUGAAACUAAAUUCAUAAUUUUUAUAUAUUUUUUUUAUAAAAAUCAAUAAAUAUUUAAGUGAGAAAUGGAUAUAAUUUAAAGUCAAAUUUUAUAGUUAAUUUUUCUUGCUUUUUUUUGAAGUAUUAAUUUAAUCUAAGGAUUUUUAAGUCUUCGUUAACUAUAUUUUUGUGCUAGGUAAGUUGGGAGAAACUACUAAGAACAAAUUUAUUGGGUUGAUUAGGGCAUUAAGUAUAUUUUUAUCUUAGUCGCAAAUUAAUUUAUAACGACACUAUUAAAAUUGAUCAUAAUCCAUUUAGUCUAAAUUUAAAUUUUGUUGGCUAGACAAGUAAAUCAUAUAAGCACAUAACUGAAUAAAUAAUUAAAAAAAUUGAAACAAUCAACGAGAAAAUAUGAUCCAUCAUUGUUUCAAGACAAUAAAGUUUAUUUCGUGUUGAAUUGAGCAAAUCACACAAAAAAAAAAUUAAAACAAAUUUGUAUAAAUACAACGUAAUAAAAAAUAAUAUAGAGAGAAAAAUAGUUAUAGAAUUUAUGCCAGAGUACUCCGAAUCUCUUUUUCUUUUAUCUUUGCAAUCUUGAAGUUUCUCUUGGUGUAGAGAGAGUUAUUUCUUAGCCUCUAAGUGAUUUCUUUUUAUUUUCCUUCUUUUUUUCCCUUAAAUCUCAUCACCACCGACCGCUUGCUAUCAAAUUAGUUGACAAACUUUUAAACAAAAUUAGUUGAGUCAGGACUUGAACAAUUUUGUAGACAUGUGUUGACUCAUAUUUAAAUAUCUAUACUGUAGAGUCUUUGAAGAUUAAAUCAUUCUAAGUAAACCCUCCAAUUAAAUGCAUCUUCUGGGUUUGUAUGUAAGGUUGAAGGUGGCUUCGAUGAAGGGAUCACGUCAGUUCUACGAUUCCGGUCCCGAGGCGUCAAUCCAAGCCUCCAAUCCAAAUUUAUCAAAACAAAAACCGAAUAAAAUGAGUUCUUAAAGAAAAUAAAGGGUUUAAAGUUUUUUUGGUCGAAAGAAAAGAUUUCCUUCCAAUUUUUUUCGGCCACUGUCAAGGUUACUCGGCCGUCAGAACUCGAAAAUUUUGGGAUCUCCGGCAGUGGAGCCGGCCGAUAGCAAUCAACAGGGGCAGCCGCAUCUUUAGAGAAAAAAUAAGGUGUUUUGGUUUUCGGCAGAAAUAAUGAUUAGUAUAUAUAUUGAGCCUUUUGGUUGGUAUAUUUGUUAAUAAGUCCUUCCGUUCUGUUUUUUAUUUUUAGGAUUUCCGCAUUUUAAAACGACAAUUUUGGUCCUUGUGAUUUUUGCUUCGUUUUUCAAUAUUGCAAUUUUCGGCUGGAAAAAUUACCGGAUUAGUCCACUGACUUUAUAUAUAUUAAAAAAUAUUUUAUGAAUUAUGAUUAUUUUUGGUAUAUGUUAUGUUUCUUCGUUUUACUUGAAUUUUGAGAUUUCUUUUAGGUUAUGUUAGAUUAUAUUUAGAAUUCUUUGACCUAGAUCUUGAGAUUCAAAUAAUAUACCUUUUAAAAAAAAUAAAUCUUAGGAUUUAAAUAGGUUAAAGUUUUAUUUUUCUAAUUUAGAUGUUCAAAGAGGUUAGAAGUUUGUUUUUCUAAUUUAAAUCUUAGGAUUAAUUUAGAUCUUAGGAUUUAAAUAGGUUAGAAUCUAAUUUAGAUAUUAGCAGGGGUGAAGUCAAAAAAAAUUUUUAGGAGGUCAAAAUUAAAUUGUAAUUUUUACGAUAGUAAAAAUGUAAUUUCACCAUUUUAAUAGUCUAUAUAUUUAUAAUUGUUAAAUGAUUAAAUCAAAUUUUUAUUAUUUUAGGAAGUCAAAGUGUAAUUUUACCUUUUCUAAUUUAAAAUACUAAAAAUUAUAAAUGACCUAAAUAGAAAAUUUUUCAUUUUUCGAGCCUGGGGCUCUCCCAGCCCCUAGAUGUUAGGAUUCAAUUUAUAUUUCUAAUUUAAAUCUUAACAUUCAAAUAGGUUAGAUUUCUCUUUCUUUACUUAGAUCCUAUGCUAUAGAGGUUAGAAUUUUAAUUUUCUGUCAAUUCUUAUAGGUUAGAAUUUAAACUUCCAUCAAUUAGAUUUUAAAGUUUUAUUAUAUUAGAAUUAAAAUUGAUUAGCUCGGAUAUUCUGAUUUUUUUAAUAAUAUUAAAUUUUGAGCAGUUUAAAUUUCGAUUUAGGAUUAUAGGAGUCAAUUUUGAAAUUUUUGAACUAGAAAUCUUUAGCACCAAAUUUUAUAGGAUUAUCUUUAGAUAGGCGUUGUAAGAAUGCUAUAAUCUUUCUUACAUUUAAUUAUACUCUCGAACUUCAAUUUUGGUGCGAGUCUGAAUCUAAUUUUUUAAGAUUUUUCCUCAAGAAUAGUUCUAAAGUCGUAGGCAAUAGGCAAUUAACUGACCUAAUUUAAAUUGGUUAAUGACGAUCCUAUUGCACGUUGGGCCAAAAUUCAUGUAUAAUUUAUAAAUACACUACUUAUCCUUAAAUUUUAUUUAAAAUGAUUUUUUGUUUGAUUUAUAUUAUGUUAUCUAUUUAAAUUUUUGCAGAUUUGAAUAUUUGACGAGUAAUAAUACUUAAUUCAAAUAUGAAUAGUUAUACUCAGAUAAUUUAUAAAUUUAAAUUUUUAAGUAAAUUUACGGAUUUAAAUAAUAGACAGAAGUUUAAGCCAAUAAAGGUUAGUGAGAGUAUACCACAUGUAAGUCCUUAAACUACACAAGAGGUGCUCAACCAUAUAUUAUAUAUUUGCAUCAUUUCGACAACUUCCCAAACCAACUAAACUCUCUAAUAAACUUAUCUUAAAAAACUCAAACCCCAAAUUUGAAUUCGUCAUUGUUCUCUUUUUGAAAUUUAGGGUCUCAACUUUCUAAUUGUUUUUAUAUUGUUUUUAUAUUGCGAUUUGAACUAUUUUCCUAAUCAAAUUAAUCUUUAAAUUAGUAAUUACACUUACAUUUAAGUCUGAAUUUUUUUUCUAAGUUAAUAUUUGAAUUUAAUUGUUCUUAAAUUAAGAUAUGAUUUUUUUAAAACAAAUAUGAAGGACUAACUUUGAUAGAAAAAAUUUAAAUUUCAAGAAUAAUUUUCAAAUUCAAGGAUUUACUUAGAAAAAGAAUUUAUUUGCUUGUAUUAUAAAACUUUCACUUUAUGAGAGAAGAUAAGGUUACAAAACCAAAUUAAAUAUUAACAAUUGAGCUUUGAAAGAAAUAAUCUGUGAGUAAAAUAGUUUUUAAUUGAUUGAGGAUAGAGUGAUGUAAUUCAGUUGAGUCUUUUCAAAGUUAAAAUUGGAAGUAAAUGAUUGAGUAGAAUUUAUAAAUGUACUUUUUUUGAAGUUCUUGAGAAAAGUUAAAUGAUAUUUUCAUUAAAAAUUAAAAGUAAAUAUUUUAACUAAUGCAUGACAAUGACUUUAUUGUGCUAUAAGUAAGUUGUUUAAGUACUAUGUUAGUCAAUUCAAAUGAGAGAACAGAGAGAUCAAGAACUAUAUUAGAACAAUAAAAACAUACAUUGAUUAAACAAUAGCUACAACUCUAUUCGUCCAAGUAAACACUUACACUUAAUUAUUUCAAACAACUAAAAAGAACACGAUACAAAAUAUGACACAACAACAUCAUAAAUACUGAACCCUCCAUUAAUGACAAUCCAAACUUUAGUAACUCAUCAAUCUUUCAAUGGCUGCAGUUUCUUGGGAAAUCCAUUCAUCCCAACACCCAUGAAGCUUUGCUUCUAAACCUAGGUCCUCUUGUUUGGUGGUGUAUUGCCAUAUUUCCAAGUGAAUUGCUUUAAACCUUCAGGAUAAGUACCCCCUGCAACCUCAUGGAUUGGGAUCGCAUCUGUAAUUUCUUUCAAAUCUUCUUUUGUCAGCUUUACUUUCACUGAUUCAAUGUUGCUGUCUAGAUUUUUAAUCUUGGUUGUUCCUGUAAGAAGUGAAAACAAUGUGUCAAAAGCUUUGGUUAUAUAUAUAAAUUGGCCUUUGGUACAGGAUUUUUCAGGCCAUUCUUAGUUACUGGAACUUGUAUCAGAGUGUCCAACACAGAUAUGUUCAUUUUCCUAAGGUUUUACAUAUAUCUGGAGGAAUAUGCUAGAAAAUUCUAUGCUAUUUCUGCAGGUUACUAACUUACUCCGACUGUUUUUUCUUCAAGUAUCCGUGUCUAAUACCCAACAUAUUUUGACAUGAGUAUUGAAUACAAUUCUCCAAAUAUAUGAAAAUUUUCAAAAAAAUAUAAGAGUUCACUUAUAUUGGAUCACCUCGGAAUUCAAGUUGAAAGUGAUUGAAUGGGACUUACCGGGAAUAGGAGAAACAUCAUCCCCUUGAUGAAGAACCCAGGCAAGUGCAAGUUGUGCCGGUGUACAUCCAUGCUUUCCAGCCAACUUCUCUACUUUCGAAUAUAGGAUCCUAUUUUGCUCCAAGUUUUCUCCUUGAAACCUUGGGAACACUCCCUUAAAAAAUAAAUGUUUGUAAUGAGUCAACCGAUCUGUUUUUUUUACAACUUAGAAGCAUGUUACUAUGUUAUCCGAAUUCUUUAUUUUCUUUAAUUACUCAUAUCCAACAUGUCUCUGACACAUAAUUGGAUAUAAGUAUGAGAGUAACAUCCUUCAAAUAAAUGAAAAUGAAACUUAAAAAAUGUUUUUUUUACAACUUAGAAGCAUGUUACUAUGUUAUCCGAAUUCUUUAUUUUCUUUAAUUACUCAUAUCCAACAUGUCUCUGACACAUAAUUGGAUAUAAGUAUGAGAGUAACAUCCUUCAAAUAAAUGAAAAUGAAACUUAAAAAAAACUGAAUAUAUUCAUGUCGCACACAUAUCUGUAUCCAACACUUACUCCUGAACCCAUAUAACAUAGAUUAAGUAUAGGUUAAAGCUAUAUAAAGUGAGUUUCCAUACCAGAGAACUAUUAGAGGUAUCCUCCUUCGCUUUACCGGCAAAGAAACCAUGACCAAGGGGACUAUAUGCAACAAUCCCAAUUCCGAGUUCCCUGCAUUGUUGAACACAUUUAGGCAGACAUAACCUCAGAGCAGUUGAAGGACUUAAAACAGUUGAUAACUUGAGAAAAGACAAUCAAUAAGUGAAUUUCAAUCUAUUUGAGCAAAAGGGUAUAUUUAUAUCCCUCCAAAUAUAUAAAAAAUUGAAUAUACCUAUAUUCGAAAAAAAAAAUUACGAUGAUUGAAGAUAGAAGAAUAAACCUGCAAAGGGGAAUUAGUUCUUCCUCAACAUCACGAGUCCAGAGCGACCACUCAAGUUGUACAGCAGUAAGAGGAUGAACAGCGUGUGCCCUCCUUAUAGUUUCGGGGCUAGCUUCAGAUAUGCCAAUGUACUUUAUUUUUCCCUCUUCCACCAACUUCUUCAGUUCUUCCAUCUAUCAUACAUGAAAUAAAUAUAAAUUAUGCUUAAUUUUCCCAUAAACAAAACAAAAUUGUAUUUGUGUUAAAGAAAGACAAAAUAGGGUUUUUAAUGCAGCAAUGCUUACGGUAUCUUCUAUAGGAGUCUUGCGGUCAACUCUGAUUAUAUAGUAAAGAUCAAUAUAAUCCACAUCAAGGCGUUGAAGGCUAGCCUCAAGUGAAGAACGAACAAAUUCAGGAGUGCCAUUGAUAACCGGACCAUCUGGACCCAUGCUUUCAACACCGAAUUUUGUAGCCAACUGUACCUUCUCUCGUGGCAGAUGCUUCAAUGCCUGCAAAAAAAGAAAUGAUGUUGAUUUCCCAGAUUCCUUUAACGAGCCAAGAACCAGAAUGAAAACAUUAAAUCAUAUCGAUUUGAUAAACUAAAAAAUUCCAUCUCUCACGCAUAUCUUCGAAUAUGUAAUAGACACAAGAGUGUGGGAAAUUGAGAACAUGAAAGAAUCGCUCUCAGUUUCAA